UACGGGGGGGGCAAGCGUUGUUCGGAAUUACUGGGCGUAAAGGGCUCGUAGGCGGCCAACUAAGUCAGACGUGAAAUCCCCAGGCUCAACCUGGGAACUGCGUCUGAUACUGGAUGGCUUGAAUUCGGGAGAGGGAUGCAGAAUUCCAGGUGUAGCGGUGAAAUGCGUAGAUAUCUGGAGGAAUACCGGUGGCGAAGGCGGCAUCCUGGACCGGUAUUGACGCUGAGGCGCGAAAGCCAGGGGAGCAAACAGG
Molecule: ribosomal RNA, 253 nt
Filed under: uncultured bacterium
Lineage: Bacteria
Description: partial 16S ribosomal RNA
Rfam family: Bacterial small subunit ribosomal RNA
Source: RNAcentral